CGCGUAGGCUGUGCUGUAAGUCAGGCGUGAAAGGCCCGGGCUCAACCUGGGAACUGCGCAUGAUACUGCGGCGCUUGAAGACGGGAGAGGAUGGCGGAAUUCCCAGUGUAGAGGUGAAAUUCGUAGAUAUUGGGAAGAACACCGGUGGCGAAGGCGGCCAUCUGGCCCGUGAUUGACGCUGAGGCGCGAAAGCGUGGGGAGCAAACAGGAUUAGAUACCCUGGUAGUCCACGCCGUAAACGAUGAGUGCUAGACGUCGGGGAGCUUGCUCUUCGGUGUCGCCGCUAACGCAUUAAGCACUCCGCCUGGGGAGUACGGUCGCAAGAUUAAA
RNAcentral lists this ribosomal RNA (330 nucleotides) under uncultured bacterium. RNAcentral describes it as "bacterial SSU rRNA". It matches the Rfam family "Bacterial small subunit ribosomal RNA", at positions 568 to 898 of the family's 1533-position model. The record is from RNAcentral.